Molecule: ribosomal RNA, 253 nt
Filed under: uncultured bacterium
Lineage: Bacteria
Description: partial 16S ribosomal RNA
Rfam family: Bacterial small subunit ribosomal RNA
Source: RNAcentral
GACGAACCGUGCGAACGUUGUUCGGAAUCACUGGGCUUAAAGGGCGCGUAGGCGGGGUCAUAAGUCUGUGGUGAAAUCCCCCGGCUCAACCGGGGAACUGCCGUGGAUACUGUGACUCUCGAGGGGUGUAGGGGCAUGCGGAACUUCCGGUGGAGCGGUGAAAUGCGUAGAUAUCGGAAGGAACGCCGGUGGCGAAAGCGGCGUGCUGGACACCUUCUGACGCUGAGGCGCGAAAGCCAGGGGAGCAAACGGG